GUGGGCACAGCUCAGUGGUAGAGUGCCUGCUUAGUGUGCAGGAUGUCCUGGGUUCAAUCCCCAGUACCUCUG
This 72-nucleotide transfer RNA is filed under the name Camelus bactrianus (Bactrian camel). It matches the Rfam family "tRNA". From Rfam's summary of the family: Transfer RNA (tRNA) molecules are approximately 80 nucleotides in length. Their secondary structure includes four short double-helical elements and three loops (D, anti-codon, and T loops). The record is from Rfam by way of RNAcentral. RNAcentral also lists the same sequence under 3 other names. Lineage: Eukaryota; Metazoa; Chordata; Mammalia; Artiodactyla; Camelidae.